Molecule: ribosomal RNA, 485 nt
Filed under: uncultured bacterium
Lineage: Bacteria
Description: bacterial SSU rRNA
Rfam family: Bacterial small subunit ribosomal RNA
Source: RNAcentral
AUUGAACGCUGGCGGCAGGCCUAACACAUGCAAGUCGAGCGGAUGAAAGGGGCUUGCUCCUGGAUUCAGCGGCGGACGGGUGAGUAAUGCGCAGGAAUCUACCUCGUAGUGGGGGAUAACGUCUCGAAAGGGGGCGCUAAUACCGCAUACGUUCUGAGGAAGAAAGCAGGGGACCUUCGGGCCUUGCGCUAUGAGAUGAGCUUGCGUCCGAUUAGGUAGUUGGUGAGAUAAUAGCCCACCAAGGCUUUGAUGGGUAGCCGAGCUGAGAGGUUGAUCGGCCACACUGGGACUGAGACACGGCCCAGACACCUACGGGUGGCAGCAGUAGGGAAUAUUGGACGAUGGACGAAAGUCUGAUCCAGCAAUGCCGCGUGAGUGACGAAGGAUUUCGGUCUGUAAAGCUCUUUUCUGAGGGAAGAAAUGACAUGUGAGGAAAUGCUCAUGUCUUGACGGUACCUCAGGAAUAAGGGACGGCUAACUCCGUG